GGUCUUGCACCAGCGCGCCAACGCCCCUAUAUAGGGUUUGUUCCGAUUCGGAACUAUGGGCAUAAACGCGCUCGCAAUAAGCGGACCGGACCCGGGGGCGGUACCCGGCGGCUCCACCAAAAACGCACCUGUCGGGUGCCUUUCUGAUGGGGCCGAAACAGGAUCGACGGACGUGUAAAGGGGUUGCCUUGUCCCGGCGGGAAGCCACCGUUACCGGCGCACCAAAGCUAGUUGCAAACGACAACAAAGCUCCGGUCGCACUCGCUGCCUAAGGCAGUCGCGCAAGACCGACCUUCAAGCCCCGGCCUGUAGCAAGGCCGGGCGGGGUUCGCAGGCACCUGGCAACAGAAGCCUGCAUC
RNAcentral lists this transfer-messenger RNA (359 nucleotides) under Paracoccaceae bacterium. RNAcentral's name for it is "Rhodobacteraceae bacterium (sponge metagenome) transfer-messenger RNA". It matches the Rfam family "Alphaproteobacteria transfer-messenger RNA". From Rfam's summary of the family: Bacterial tmRNA, also known as 10Sa RNA or SsrA, is named for its dual tRNA and mRNA-like properties. The record is from RNAcentral. Lineage: Bacteria; Pseudomonadati; Pseudomonadota; Alphaproteobacteria; Rhodobacterales; Paracoccaceae.